This 209-nucleotide ribosomal RNA is filed under the name Escherichia coli. RNAcentral describes it as "partial 16S ribosomal RNA". It matches the Rfam family "Bacterial small subunit ribosomal RNA", at positions 1 to 216 of the family's 1533-position model. The record is from RNAcentral. Lineage: Bacteria; Pseudomonadati; Pseudomonadota; Gammaproteobacteria; Enterobacterales; Enterobacteriaceae.
AAAUUGAAGAGUUUGAUCAUGGCUCAGAUUGAACGCUGGCGGCAGGCCUAACACAUGCAAGUCGAACGGUAACAGGAAACAGCUUGCUGCUUCGCUGACGAGUGGCGGACGGGUGAGUAAUGUCUGGGAAACUGCCUGAUGGAGGGGGAUAACUACUGGAAACGGUAGCUAAUACCGCAUAACGUCGCAAGACCAAAGAGGGGGACCUU